This 72-nucleotide transfer RNA is filed under the name Marmota monax (woodchuck). It matches the Rfam family "tRNA". Rfam says of the family: Transfer RNA (tRNA) molecules are approximately 80 nucleotides in length. Their secondary structure includes four short double-helical elements and three loops (D, anti-codon, and T loops). Lineage: Eukaryota; Metazoa; Chordata; Mammalia; Rodentia; Sciuridae. The record is from Rfam by way of RNAcentral.
GGAGCUGUAGCUCAGUGGCAGAGCACUUGCCUAGCAUGCAUGAGGCACUGGGUUCAAUCCUCAGCACCUACU